GGCAGAAGCAAUAAGAAUCAUAACAUUUACUCGAUAUAAGGUAACAUAGGAAUAAUCAAAGCAUCACAGUCCAUUAUAAACACAGAGUGUCUUGUGGGAGGGAGAUAGUGGCCAUACAUUAAUAGAAAUCUAUUAGGCAGGUAUAAGUGAGGAACAUCUAUUUGGAAUAUCUUACAAUUUUAACUGCAAAUCUUGGUGUCCUUGGUUCAUUUAGUAACAAUCUAUACCACAUAAGGCUGAAUUUUAUAUUGACAGCUGUCCUUAUGGGUCUCAUUUCCUUCUUAUAGGAAAUCACUUUCUUCUGUUUUCUAGUAAAGAAGUAAUAGUUUUUCUUUCACCCUUAACAAUACACUGAGAAACUUUUUUCUUUAAAACAAUUUCAUGUAUGUAUGUGUUCAGUCUCUCAUCUACCACCCACCCAUCCACCUUUCCAUCUAUAUUUCUAUCUAUCUUCAUCUUUCCAUCUCUAUCUAACCAGUAUUUUGCUGGAUAGAUUUUAUUUUAAAUAGAAUAGAUCUAUUUAGCUAUCAGUCCAUAAAUCUAUGCAUUCAUAUUUCUAGCAUCUAUCUCAGUUUUCUAUCUAGCAUCUAUAAUCUAUCAUCUACCUAUCCAUCCACAUUUGUAUUUAUUAUCUACAUAUCUUCACCUCUUCCAUUAUACAUCUCCAGUUUUCCAUAUUCACCUAUCUAGAAUCUAUCUAUACAUCUGACUUACAGUCCAUAUAUCUAUCAUGUAUCUAUCAUCUACCCAUGUAUUUCUAUAUCUAUCUUUCUACUUACCUAUUUAUCUAUCUACCCAUCCAUCCAUCUAUCUAUUCAUCCAAACAUUCUCCUUAUUCAUUACAAGCAGGUUUCCUCAGUUUGGCUCUCUGGGAAAUGCAGAGCAGAUGACUUAGCUUAUGCUUUUUUUUUUUUUUUUUUUUUGAGACAUCUUUAAGCUAAACCAAGCCCAUCCUCUGGUAAUAAGAUCACAGCAAUGUAGAGGCAAAGCUUAUCUUACCCUGUCUAUUCAUUCUCCUACCCCCACUCCCACCCCAACCUUGCUCCCAAACUAUGGUGGCAAUAGGAGGUCAACCAGGCACUUUUUUGAGAAUUUCCCUUUCUCUCAGGCUGUAGAUGGCACUAGAUAGCCUAUUUUGUAUAAAAUCUAGAAACUAUAGAGCUUUCUUAGCUGAUCAAACCUUUCUUCAGCCAAUCAUUGUAAAGUGAUGACUUCCCCUAUCCCAAUCAGCAAGUUCCUAGCAAGAGAAAACAUUCUUUCCUAGCCUUGUGUAUAUUUUGUCAGUAGCUUCUUACAACCCCUCUGUUAAGCUUAUUCUAUUAAUUAUCUUGCUUUUCUUUUAAUUUUUGCCUCAUAUCUUUUAAUGUAUUAAAUCAGAGUUCUCUGGUGGUUAAUGAUUUAUAUUUGCCACAUAAGGUAAAGCUCAAGAAAUUUAACUUUUGGUUACUGAAGAACCCCAAAAUCUUUAUACAAUCUCUGUUAUUUGAUAGUUUCAAAAUUGUAAACUAUAAAAUUCUAAAAAACAACAAAAACAGAAACAUGCAGAUGAUUUCAUGAGCCAUAAUGCCCUACAACUGUUGAUCUCCUCGAUUGAAUUUCAAACAGGUCCUUUCAGUACAUUUUUUCUGAGGGAAAAUUCUCUAUCAGGUCUUCAGAGGUCCAUUUCUCUUCCAUUUUUUAGGAAAUAUUUUUCUUCAAUACUAUUUCUUCACAUUUUGAGUUUUAAAAGUUUUACUUAUAUAAAUGUUAUUUUAUUGUCCCCUUUCAGCAACCUAAUGGUUCACAUAAAGACAAUAUCUUGAAAUCAUAGGAUUGUAAACUUAGUUAGGUGGUAUGGUGAAUGGAGAAUGUGCCCUGGACCUUAUAAAAGUCUGAGUUAAAACCUAUCUUCAGAUACUUACUCGCUAGGAGACCUUGAACAAGUCACAUUACCUCUCUUUACACCCAUAAAAUGGGGAUAACAACACCUUCCUCUCCGGAUGGUAAAACUGAGUUAUUUGUCAAGUGCUUUGAAAAUUGUAAACACUAUAAAUUCUAGUUAUUAUUAUUAUUACCGGAAGGAACCCUAGAGGUCCACUAGUGAAAUCUUCUCAUUUUAAACAUAAGGAAACAAAUCCAAGGUAAAAUUGGUUCUCUUUGGGGUAUGUGAUUAAAGGAUAGAGAAAUAGUUAAGAGAUGUGAGGGUCAAAAUGGUAAAAUAGCCUUUAUGAGAGGAUUGAUAAAAAGAGGUGUCCCUCUGCUACCUACUACCAGUAUAAAAGUCACAACCACUUUGCUACUCAUUUUCCUUAUUUGUUAAGUGAGGUUGAACUAGAUAUUCUCCGAUUGUAAUUAUUUGUUAAUAUGAAGACUCAUUUCCCUGACCUGCUAUGGGAAAAAUGCUUUGCAAAGUUUUAAUUGCUAUAUUAUAGUUGUCAGUGAUAGUUGAUGCUGCUGUUCUACUACUAUUACUACUUUACUAUUAGUUAUUUCUACUCCUACUUUUACUAUUUCUAUUCCUAUUAUUACUACUAUUAUUAGUACUUCCCUUACUGCUAUUCCUACUACUAUUGCUACAAUUAUUACUAUUACUACCACUACCAUCACUACUACUGCUACUACUACUAAUUAUAGGUUCCCUAUUACUUUAGAAUUCCCCAGGUUCAGUGAAGGAUGCUUUGGGACCCAGUCACAGUUAUGCAAAUAUAGAUCAACUCCACAUGCAAUUAAUUCUCUACUAACAGACCAGAAAAGCUUUUGAUUGGGGUAGAAUAGAGAGGUAAAUGACGUAAGAAAGCUCCUUCAUCCACAAACUUCCACAGAUUCACAUGUUGCCUUCUGAGGAGUCUUUCCUAGAAAAUCUAUCUUACUAUGGUAACAUAAUAGCAUCAUGUUCCCGAUUGAUCGGAUGUCUUCUCGAGACUUCAUCUCCCCACACGACGGACCUUACUGCCGCUGCUCCAUCUGAGUCUGCAGUUUCCCCUACCUCUAAAGCUCUUCUGAAAAGCUACUGUUGUUGUUUCCUGGAGUUGCGAUCUACAUGUUAAUUUCCAUUAAGUACUUGUCAUUUUAGAGGUCGCUUGUUGGGUUUCUCCUUCAAAGGGAGUGCUGUUGCUCUUUUUUUCCCCUCCAUCACCAGCAUCCCCUUUAAUAAAACAGACAAACUAGCGGGUGACAGGGAGGGGAAAGGGGAUGGGAAUAUCGCCAUUUACAACCACAAAAAACCAAUUUGCACGUGGCUAACACCUGUUAGCGGGGGAGCGGGGAGGGAGGGGCAGGGCUGCCCCAGCGCCGGUGGGCAGCAGCGGCGGAGCCCAGGACCCCGCCGCAUCUAUUUGUAAAGGAUGUCGUAGUGUCCGGGUCUGUACAGAAGGUACACCUUGGUCUCGGAGCCCUCAGAGAAGACGUGGGUGUUGGUGGUGCCGCCCUCACCGCGGUCCAUGUACUCCACCUGGAUGGAGAUGCUGAGGGCCUGCGCCAGCGCCAUGAUGUGGAUGUGGUCACUCUCCUUGCACAUGGGCUCCACCUCCUGCUGACAAAACUCCUUGACCGUCUGUCCCCCCUCGAUGAAAUGCUCGAAGAACUUGCUCUCACGCUGCAGGUGGCCUGAGGUGAGCAGCCGCAGGUAAACCACCAGGUAGUCGGAGGUGCUCUGGUCAUUGAAGGAGGCCAGCAGUUCCGUUGCUGAGGUUCCCCUCUCCACCUGUUCGAUCAGGUCCAUGAAUGUGUUGUGGAAAUCUUCAAUUGUGAACUCGGCGAAGCCCUGGGCCACCAGGUCGUCCUUGCUCUUGGCGGAGACGGCUUUGAGCCUCUGCAGCUCCUUCUUGUCCUCCAGAAGGGCCUCCAGGUGGGAGAAGCCGAAAGCCCGGUAGAAGCAGUUGCCAUCGGGCCUGGUCUUUCGGAUGUAGGAGUACUUUUUGUGUAGGUCCUUGAUCUUCUGUUGGUAGAUGUUGUCAUCUUCGGCGUACUCCUUGUAAAGCACGGAGAGCUCCAGGCGCUCGGACACCAGGGGAUUUUGAACAGCAAUCUCUUGCUGAAUUCGGUCCUGCUGGGCCAUGAUGGCUUCAUCGUAGGCCAAACUGUUAAUUCCUUCAGAGUCACUUUCCAAUGGCUCCGGAUUCUGCUGAUGAGGUUCCUCCGCCGCCAUCUUUAAACAGCAUAUGGACUGCCUCGCCAACGAGCGUGCAACUGCGCAAUCAGCUCUGGUGUCAGUUCCAUAGUCACGGCGGGGGUGGCCCACAAAAAGCUCUUUUUCCCAACCUACUCACUAGCUUCCCAGAACAAAGUUUCAGAUACAGACAGUGAUCUCCAGUGCUCUUUGAUCCAGGGUAACUUGAAGCCAGCAUAGCAGGUAGAAGGGGAUUGCCAGCCAGCCCGACAGGACAACCCCCAAAGUCAAAGUAUCCAGGAUCCAAAUCCAAGGAGGGAUUGGAAGUGAGAACAACCUGAAACAGAAGACAAAUACCUCAGCACAUUUCACCAAGUGAGGGUAAAAAAGACGGAGACCACUAGAAAUGUGAAAAAGGAAGCCCAAGGAAGUUGUGACCUGCCCAAAGUCACAGAGGAAGUCAACUUCAUAGGCAAAAUUUGAACCUGGAUUCUUCAGCUCAAACAUGAGAAAAAAAUUAAAUAAUCAAUUAUUGGGAAGAUCUAGAGUUGUCAAAGAUCAGCGACAAGACAAGUCAAGGUGGCUGGUGAUGACCUAGGAUUUGGUGGAUGACCUUGGUGUUUUUGACCAAGCUCUCAGUGCCCUACAAUAACUCCGAGGUGUUCAGAGGGACUAGCAGCUCUGGUGUGAGGGCGUGUUGAGUCCUUUUGGGGCUGGUCGUCCACCUUUGAGGUUUGCCUGUUACCUAACGGUCCUUGGACUCCAAGAAGUUUUACUAUGGCCAGUGGCCAGUGGCCAGCCCUUGGUACAACCAGGUGGAGGCUACCACAAGCCUCAGACCCACUGGUGAGUUAUGGGAACAUCUAUCCUACGUGAAGAUGCCUUCUGGAGAGCAGGCAAAUGAGAACCACUUGUUUUAGCAGCCGUGAAUAAUAGCAAUAUACUUACAACCUCAAUGAAUUAACAAUAUCCUCAGCAGCACCCAAUGCCUGACUGCCAUUCUCUGCAGGCCUGCUCCUCCUGGGCCCUUCUGGAACCAAUUUUUCUGUGUGUCCACCAUGAAAAGCCCCCAACACACUGAAGUUAUUCUUCUAAAUUGCUCCUAUCAGUGAAAUGAUCAUCAAAUGUUUGAGAAUAUUAACUCUGCUUAAACUUCACCAGAUCUCUCUUACCUCUAGACUCUCAAAGGGAUCUUAGGGAUCAUCUUGGCCCCAUCCCUUGUUGUAUAGAUUUGGAAUCUGGGGCCACAAGAGCUUAAGUGACUUGUGAGAAUCACAAACACGGUAAGUGAAUGAGUACCAGAGGAGGGAACUGAGCCCAGGUCUUCUCAUUUUAAAUUCAGCCUAAAUUUCCACCCUACCUGGUCAAACAUAUACUCAUGUUUUUCCCUUUUGGACUCUGUUCAUAUUAUUUAUGUACAUACAAUAUAUGGACCUUGAUAUUUAUAUGUUUUCUCUCCAUUAAAAUAAAUUCUUCUGGGAAGCAGAGAUUGUCUUGUUUUUGUUGGUUUUUCUUUGGAUCCCC
This 5611-nucleotide long non-coding RNA is filed under the name Sarcophilus harrisii (Tasmanian devil). RNAcentral's name for it is "lncRNA (ENSSHAG00000029494.1)". The record is from RNAcentral. Lineage: Eukaryota; Metazoa; Chordata; Mammalia; Dasyuromorphia; Dasyuridae.